This 72-nucleotide transfer RNA is filed under the name Prochlorococcus sp. MIT 0604. Its description in RNAcentral is "tRNA-Thr (GGT) (tRNA-Thr-GGT-1-1)". It matches the Rfam family "tRNA". Rfam says of the family: Transfer RNA (tRNA) molecules are approximately 80 nucleotides in length. Their secondary structure includes four short double-helical elements and three loops (D, anti-codon, and T loops). Further hydrogen bonds mediate the characteristic L-shaped molecular structure. tRNAs have two regions of fundamental functional importance: the anti-codon, which is responsible for specific mRNA codon recognition, and the 3' end, to which the tRNAs corresponding amino acid is attached (by aminoacyl-tRNA synthetases). tRNAs cope with the degeneracy of the genetic code in two manners: having more than one tRNA (with a specific anti-codon) for a particular amino acid; and 'wobble' base-pairing, i.e. permitting non-standard base-pairing at the 3rd anti-codon position. Lineage: Bacteria; Bacillati; Cyanobacteriota; Cyanophyceae; Synechococcales; Prochlorococcaceae. The record is from RNAcentral.
GCCCUUGUAGCUCAGCGGUAGAGCACUCCCUUGGUAAGGGAGAGGUCUCGGGUUCAAGUCCCGAUGAGGGCA